GACGAACGCUGGCGGCGUGCUUAACACAUGCAAGUCGAACGGAAAGGCCCCUUUGGGGUUCUCGGGUGGCGAAACGGUGGGGUAACACGUAAUUAACCGCCCUUAACUUCCGGAUAAACUUAGGGAAACUGGGCCAAUAACGGGUAAGAAAUCUUGCUUCCUUGGGGGGGGUGGGAAGGUUCGGCGGUUUUGGAUGGACUCGCGGCUUAUCAGCUUGUUGGUGGGGUAGUGGCUUACCAAGGCUUUGACGGGUAGCCGGCCUGAGAGGGCGACCGGCCACAUUGGGACUGAGAUACGGCCCAGACUCCUACGGGAGGCAGCAGUGGGGAAUAUUGCACAAUGGGCGGAAGCCUGAUGCAGCAACGCCGCGUGCGGGAUGACGGCCUUCGGGUUGUAAACCGCUUUCAGCAGGGGCGAAGCUUGUGGUGACGGUACCUGCAGAAGAAGCACCGGCUAACUACGUG
RNAcentral lists this ribosomal RNA (464 nucleotides) under uncultured bacterium. Its description in RNAcentral is "partial 16S ribosomal RNA". It matches the Rfam family "Bacterial small subunit ribosomal RNA", at positions 28 to 507 of the family's 1533-position model. The record is from RNAcentral.